RNAcentral lists this ribosomal RNA (414 nucleotides) under uncultured fungus. Its description in RNAcentral is "eukaryotic LSU rRNA". The stretch from base 122 to 267 matches the Rfam family "5.8S ribosomal RNA". Lineage: Eukaryota; Fungi. The record is from RNAcentral.
UCCGUAGGUGAACCUGCGGAAGGAUCAUUAACAAAACAUGAACUUAUAACUAACUGACUAGUGUUUAGGCACUAUGAACUAUAUACUUAAACUAUAAAACUCUAAAUGGUUGAUAAAACUAAAUUUUCAACGAUGGAUGUCUUGGCUCCCAUAACGAUGAAGAACGCAGCGAAAAUGCGAUAUGCAAUGUGAAUUGCAGAACCAUGAAUCAUCAGAUCUUUGAACGCAUCUGGCGCCGAUACACUCGGCAUACUUGUUUCAGUGUGCUCAAACAACUAUUCACUACUAAAAUGUGAGAGAAGUUCUCUCAUCAAGAUAGUGCUCCUUGCAGCAGUCACAUGUAUUUGUGAGCUUCAAUCGAGAUUAAAGACUUAAUGUCACCUGAAAUCAAGUAAGAUAACCCGCUGGACUUAA